This is a long non-coding RNA of Megalobrama amblycephala (Wuchang bream), 880 nucleotides long. RefSeq lists it as uncharacterized. The transcript is spliced from 3 exons. NCBI's taxonomy places the organism in Eukaryota, Metazoa, Chordata, Actinopteri, Cypriniformes, Xenocyprididae. The record is from RefSeq and is a predicted model, not a curated record.
CCUCACAAGAAAAUUAUCAUAUCUGGGAGUAUGUGGUAUCUAAAAGAUUGACAAUCCCUGCUCAGUAUUUCUAGUAGUAUUUAAUUUUCUGUCGGUUGAACAGCAAUGCCCGACCCGUGAAUGAUUCGCUCAUUUGAGUCGGUUCUAUUCAAUGAAUCGUUAAGCUAGUUAGCAAAACGGACGGUCUAAAAUCGGUUCGUGAUUAAGUCUGAGUCAUUUGGACAGUUCACGGACGCAUUUACUUUUUAAUGCGGUAAAAAAUACAAACACAAAGCACAGAAACACUGGAUAAAUGGAAUAUUUACCUACAAUGCAUUGAAAAGAAGCCUGAAGCUCGUAUACCAGUGAAGAUAAUCUUGAUUAAGAUCAACACCUGCAGCGCCAGCUUGUGAACGACUCAGAUAUAUCAACGUGAGUGGAAGGGAAUCUUCAAAUAGCACCCUGUAUGAAGUACCCGAAUCACAAGGCAUCACAUGAGAUCAAGUGACGAUUUCGGUGUCAUCUCUCCACUCGGAUUUCGGUGAUGAAUACUUUGUAAACAAGUCCCAGUUCGGCGCUGGAUUUGCAGAUCGCGGGUGGUGAGUAAAGCUGCAUCAGAUGUCUGGGUUUUGUUGGCAAUCAGUGCGCAAGUGCAUAAAAUGUAAACAACACGAACCCUUCUGUUCCCUUUGUAUUUAUAAUGAUGUCGCAGCUAGCAGACAUCGCAGAAGCUGCGGUCGUGACUCUUUCGCUCUGCCCACAGCACUGACGGCAGAUACGCCUCCAGGAGCUCGGCUUUUUCCGGAAAGACUCGGUUUAGCGUAUCUAUCUUUUCGACUUUUCGGAGAUAUGAUGGAUGCAUUGUUACUCUAUAUGUACUCAAGAUUAACAUGAGAUUGGC